GGGCGAUUAGCUCAGGGGCGGAGCGCUUGACUCACAUUCAAGAGGUCGCUGGUUCAAAUCCAGCAUCGCCCACCA
This 75-nucleotide transfer RNA is filed under the name Bacillota bacterium. Its description in RNAcentral is "tRNA-Val". It matches the Rfam family "tRNA". Rfam says of the family: Transfer RNA (tRNA) molecules are approximately 80 nucleotides in length. Their secondary structure includes four short double-helical elements and three loops (D, anti-codon, and T loops). Further hydrogen bonds mediate the characteristic L-shaped molecular structure. tRNAs have two regions of fundamental functional importance: the anti-codon, which is responsible for specific mRNA codon recognition, and the 3' end, to which the tRNAs corresponding amino acid is attached (by aminoacyl-tRNA synthetases). tRNAs cope with the degeneracy of the genetic code in two manners: having more than one tRNA (with a specific anti-codon) for a particular amino acid; and 'wobble' base-pairing, i.e. permitting non-standard base-pairing at the 3rd anti-codon position. Lineage: Bacteria; Bacillati; Bacillota. The record is from RNAcentral.